Girardinichthys multiradiatus is the source of this 339-nucleotide long non-coding RNA. RefSeq lists it as uncharacterized. The record is from RefSeq and is a predicted model, not a curated record. NCBI's taxonomy places the organism in Eukaryota, Metazoa, Chordata, Actinopteri, Cyprinodontiformes, Goodeidae. The transcript has 3 exons.
CAAGCAACAAGGCCAAUGCCAGUAACAUGAAGCCUAUCCCGGCCAGUACACCGGCCAGCAACGGCUCAGGGACAAACUCCAGGAGCCGUGACGUAGCUGCAUAGCUCUCCAUACCUGUGAAAACAGAGGUACCUUUUGUGUUGCCAUGCCAUGCCAUGCCUGUACACAGCUAUUUGGUCAUGCCUUGCCUGCUCAUGUUUUUUGCCAGAGAUUAAACCACCCCUCUUCUGCGGAGCGGGAUUGGAGGACAAAGCCUGUGAUGGGAGGCUGCUGAGCCUCAGGAAGGGACCACUGCAGAAUAACACCUGCUGAGCUCUGAUUAGCAGACAGCGACACGGG